Molecule: ribosomal RNA, 497 nt
Filed under: uncultured bacterium
Lineage: Bacteria
Description: partial 16S ribosomal RNA
Rfam family: Bacterial small subunit ribosomal RNA
Source: RNAcentral
GAUGAACGCUGGCGGCGUGCCUAAUACAUGCAAGUCGAGCGAACAGACGAGGAGCUUGCUCCUCUGACGUUAGCGGCGGACGGGUGAGUAACACGUGGAUAACCUACCUAUAAGACUGGGAUAACUUCGGGAAACCGGAGCUAAUACCGGAUAAUAUAUUGAACCGCAUGGUUCAAUAGUGAAAGACGGUUUUGCUGUCACUUAUAGAUGGAUCCGCGCCGCAUUAGCUAGUUGGUAAGGUAACGGCUUACCAAGGCAACGAUGCGUAGCCGACCUGAGAGGGUGAUCGGCCACAAUGGAAAUGAGACACGGUCAAGACGCAUACGGGAGGCAGCAGUAGGGAAUCUGACGCAAAGGGCGAAAGACUGAAGGAGCAACGCCGCGUGAGUGAUGAAGGUCUUCGGAUCGUAAAACUCUGUUAUUAGGGAAGAACAAAUGUGUAAGUAACUAUGCACGUCUUGACGGUACCUAAUCAGAAAGACACGGCUAACUACGUG